AUUGAACGCUGACGGCAUGCCUUACACAUGCAAGUCGAACGGUAACAGGUCUUCGGAUGCUGACGAGUGGCGAACGGGUGAGUAAUACAUCGGAACGUGCCCGAUCGUGGGGGAUAACGAGGCGAAAGCUUUGCUAAUACCGCAUAAGAUCUACGGAUGAAAGCAGGGGACCGCAAGGCCUUGCGCGAACGGAGCGGCCGAUGGCAGAUUAGGUAGUUGGUGGGAUAAAAGCUUACCAAGCCGACGAUCUGUAGCUGGUCUGAGAGGACGACCAGCCACACUGGGACUGAGACACGGCCCAGACUCCUACGGGAGGCAGCAGUGGGGAAUUUUGGACAAUGGGCGAAAGCCUGAUCCAGCCAUGCCGCGUGCAGGAUGAAGGCCUUCGGGUUGUAAACUGCUUUUGUACGGAACGAAAAGACUCUGGUUAAUACCUGGGGUCCAUGACGGUACCGUAAGAAUAAGCACCGGCUAACUACGUG
This 482-nucleotide ribosomal RNA is filed under the name uncultured bacterium. RNAcentral describes it as "partial 16S ribosomal RNA". It matches the Rfam family "Bacterial small subunit ribosomal RNA", at positions 30 to 507 of the family's 1533-position model. The record is from RNAcentral.